CCCCCAACAGUUUCUUUUUCUGCAUCCGCUGCUCUGUUAAGUGAUCACCACAUUCAUUGUUCUCGUUUCUAUUAUUUCUGAAAAAAAUCUUCAGGAUUCUGCUUGUGGGAGUGGAUGACAUUUUUACAGUGUUUACAGGCUGAAAAUUUUUCGAGCUUUUAUGCUCUGCUUCCGUUAUAAGGAGGAGGCCUCACAAUCCUGGUGGAAGGCAAGGAGGAGCAAGUCACAUCUUAUGUGGAUGGCAGCAGGCAAAGAAAGCUUAUGCAGACACAAAAUGAACAAGAUGUCUGUGGCAACCCUCAGACCAUUGACGCCUUCUCUCCUAUGUAUCAAAUCACACAUUUGGACGUUGACUGAACCCUCACAUGUCAGAUGCUCAAUAUUGAGGUAUAGUAAAAGGGAGCAUGAACUUGAGAAAAUACGCUUUCAACACAAAGCUGUAAUAAUAUAAGGUCAAAUAAGAUUCUGCAUUGGAGAUAGAAAACUCUGAAGGAAGCUUUAUCUAUUCCAGAAUGUCAUAUAGCUGGUAUAAGGUUGUCUUCAUUCAUUUCCACAGUUUCUCUGGAGGUUCCAACAAGAUACGGUCUCCAUUGCCCAUUGCUCUGGACCCCAGCCAUCACCCAGUGCAGCAGUGAUGCCUUAUGACAAGUCAGCACCUGGUCUGAACUCUGCUCUCUUUGCACUGAAUUCUUUGAGUUUUUAUUCCAAGUUCAGUCAUUGGUUUUAGUAUUGGUUCCCAUCUGCUUGGCAUCCUUGGUGGAAUUGGGCUUCUUUUUUCAAUUUCUUUUUGCUGUCUUUUUGUUUUACUGUGUUGAGUAGUGCUAUCUAAAUGUGUUUAUCAUAAAAGAAGCAGCACAUGAUCAUAGGCCCAUGAGCCUGUUUUUCAAGCCAGCCAAACAGCACAUUUAGUUUGACAUUCACACUGGACCUCUGUCCAUUUUUAUAAACUUCGCUUUGGGUCAUCAAUAAAACUAAAUGAAGUUCUC
Long non-coding RNA from Homo sapiens (human), 986 nucleotides. Ensembl annotates it as long intergenic non-protein coding RNA 1608. NCBI's taxonomy places the organism in Eukaryota, Metazoa, Chordata, Mammalia, Primates, Hominidae. The record is from Ensembl.